RNAcentral lists this ribosomal RNA (437 nucleotides) under uncultured bacterium. RNAcentral describes it as "partial 16S ribosomal RNA". It matches the Rfam family "Bacterial small subunit ribosomal RNA", at positions 29 to 507 of the family's 1533-position model. The record is from RNAcentral.
AGCGAACGCUGGCGGCAGGCUUAACACAUGCAAGUCGAGCGGGCAUCCUUGUGGUGUCAGCGGCAGACGGGUGAGUAACGCGUGGGAACGUGCCCUUCGGUUCGGAAUAACUCAGGGAAACUUGAGCUAAUACCGGAUACGUGCGAGAGCAGAAAGGUUUAUCUGCCGAAGGAUCGGCCCGCGUCUGAUUAGCUAGGUGGUGAGGUUACGGCUCACCAAGGCGACGAUCAGUAGCUGGUCUGAGAGGAUGAUCAGCCACACUGGGACUGAGACACGGCCCAGACUCCUACGGGAUGCAGCAGUGGGGAAUAUUGGAAAAUGGGGACAACCCUGAUCCAGCCAGGCCGCGUGAGUGAUGACGGCCUUAGGGUUGUAAAGCUCUUUUCUCCGGGACGAUAAUGACGGUACCGGAGGAAUAAGCCCCGGCUAACUUCGUG